UGGGGAAUAUUGCACAAUGGGCGCAAGCCUGAUGCAGCCAUGCCGCGUGUGUGAAGAAGGUUUUCGGAUCGUAAAACUCUGUUGUUAGAGAAGAACAAGGACGUUAGUAACUGAACGUCCCCUGACGGUAUCUAACCAGAAAGCUACGGCUAACUACGUGCCAGCAGCCGCGGUAAUACGUAGGUGGCAAGCGUUGUCCGGAUUUAUUGGGCGUAAAGCGAGCGCAGGCGGUUUCUUAAGUCUGAUGUGAAAGCCCCCGGCUCAACCGGGGAGGGUCAUUGGAAACUGGGAGACUUGAGUGCAGAAGAGGAGAGUGGAAUUCCAUGUGUAGCGGUGAAAUGCGUAGAUAUAUGGAGGAACACCAGUGGCGAAGGCGGCUCUCUGGUCUGUAACUGACGCUGAGGCUGGAAAGCGUGGGGAGCAAACAGG
Molecule: ribosomal RNA, 429 nt
Filed under: Chloroflexota bacterium
Lineage: Bacteria; Bacillati; Chloroflexota
Description: Chloroflexi bacterium partial 16S ribosomal RNA
Rfam family: Bacterial small subunit ribosomal RNA
Source: RNAcentral